RNAcentral lists this ribosomal RNA (321 nucleotides) under Arytainilla telonicola. Its description in RNAcentral is "partial 12S ribosomal RNA". The record is from RNAcentral. Lineage: Eukaryota; Metazoa; Arthropoda; Insecta; Hemiptera; Psyllidae.
GAGUAGUAUAAGUUAAGAUCUUGAAACUCAAAAAAUUUGGCGGUAUUUUAUCUUUUUAGAGGAACCUGUUUAUUAAUUGAUAUUCCACAAUUUUAAUUUACUUUUAUUAAAUUAUUUGUAUACCGUUGUCAUGAAUCUACUAAAAAGUAAUUUUCAAGAUUUUUUAUAUAAUUUAUGUUAGAUCAAGGUGCAGUUUGUGAAAGAAAAUAAUGGGUUACAUUGAUUAUUAUGAAUGAAAAUUAUUAUUGAAUAAUAAUAGAAAAAGGAUUUAAAAGUAAAGGAAAGUUAUUAAAAUUUUUUAUGAAUUUAGAUACUGAAAUA